UUCCUGGUGGUCCAGUGGCUGAGACUCUGUGCUCCCAAUGCAGAGGGCACAGGUUCAAUCCCUGGUUGGGAAA
Molecule: transfer RNA, 73 nt
Filed under: Bos taurus (domestic cattle)
Lineage: Eukaryota; Metazoa; Chordata; Mammalia; Artiodactyla; Bovidae
Also listed under: 6 other names
Rfam family: tRNA
About the family: Transfer RNA (tRNA) molecules are approximately 80 nucleotides in length.
Source: Rfam by way of RNAcentral